Molecule: ribosomal RNA, 484 nt
Filed under: uncultured bacterium
Lineage: Bacteria
Description: partial 16S ribosomal RNA
Rfam family: Bacterial small subunit ribosomal RNA
Source: RNAcentral
AUUGAACGCUGGCGGCAGGCCUAACACAUGCAAGUCGAGCGGAUGAAGGGAGCUUGCUCCUGGAUUCAGCGGCGGACGGGUGAGUAAUGCCUAGGAAUCUGCCUGGUAGUGGGGGAUAACGUCCGGAAACGGGCGCUAAUACCGCAUACGUCCUGAGGGAGAAAGUGGGGGAUCUUCGGACCUCACGCUAUCAGAUGAGCCUAGGUCGGAUUAGCUAGUUGGUGGGGUAAAGGUCUACCAAGGCGACGAUCCGUAACUGGUCUGAGAGGAUGAUCAGUCACACUGGUACUGAGACACGGUCCAGACUCCUACGGGAGGCAGCAGUGGGGAAUAUUGGACAAUGGGCGAAAGCCUGAUCCAGCCAUGCCGCGUGUGUGAAGAAGGUCUUCGGAUUGUAAAGCACUUUAAGUUGGGAGGAAGGGCAGUAAGUUAAUACCUUGCUGUUUUGACGUUACCAACAGAAUAAGCACCGGCUAACUUCGUG